GACGAACGCUGGCGGCGUGCUUAACACAUGCAAGUCGAACGGAAAGGCCCUGCUUUUGUGGGGUGCUCGAGUGGCGAACGGGUGAGUAACACGUGAAUAACCUGCCCUUGACUUUGGGAUAACUUCAGGAAACUGGGGCUAAUACCGGAUAGGAGCUCUUGCUGCAUGGUGGGGGUUGGAAAGUUUCGGCGGUUGGGGAUGGACUCGCGGCUUAUCAGCUUGUUGGUGGGGUAGUGGCUUACCAAGGCUUUGACGGGUAGCCGGCCUGAGAGGGUGACCGGCCACAUUGGGACUGAGAUACGGCCCAGACUCCUACGGGAGGCAGCAGUGGGGAAUAUUGCACAAUGGGCGGAAGCCUGAUGCAGCAACGCCGCGUGCGGGAUGACGGCCUUCGGGUUGUAAACCGCUUUCGCCUGUGACGAAGCGUGAGUGACGGUAAUGGGUAAAGAAGCACCGGCUAACUACGUG
RNAcentral lists this ribosomal RNA (468 nucleotides) under uncultured bacterium. RNAcentral describes it as "partial 16S ribosomal RNA". It matches the Rfam family "Bacterial small subunit ribosomal RNA", at positions 28 to 507 of the family's 1533-position model. The record is from RNAcentral.